AGAGUUUGAUCCUGGCUCAGGACGAACGCUGGCGGCGUGCUUAACACAUGCAAGUCGAACGAUUCCGUGCUUUCGGGUGCGGUUUAGUGGCGAACGGGUGAGUAACACGUGGGCAACCUGCCCUCCACUCUGGGAUAACUCCGGGAAACCGGGGCUAAUACUGGAUAUGACUUCUGGCCGCAUGGCUGGGGGUGGAAAGUUUUUCGGUGGAGGAUGGGCCCGCGGCCUAUCAGCUUGUUGGUGGGGUGAUGGCCUACCAAGGCGGUGACGGGUAGCCGGCCUGAGAGGGCGACCGGCCACACUGGGACUGAGACACGGCCCAGACUCCUGCGGGAGGCAGCAGUGGGGAAUAUUGCACAAUGGGCGCAAGCCUGAUGCAGCGACGCCGCGUGAGGGAUGACGGCCUUCGGGUUGUAAACCUCUUUCAGCAGGGACCAAGGCUUCGGUUGAGUGUACCUGCAGAAGAAGCACCGGCUAACUACGUGCCAGCAGCCGCGGUAAUACGUAGGGUGCGAGCGUUGUCCGGAUUUAUUGGGCGUAAAGGGCUCGUAGGCGGCCUGUCGCGUCGGGAGUGAAAGCCCACUGCUUAACGGUGGGUCUGCUUCCGGUACGGGCGGGCUGGAGUAUGGCAGGGGAGACUGGAAUUCCUGGUGUAGCGGUGGAAUGCGCAGAUAUCAGGAGGAACACCGGUGGCGAAGGCGGGUCUCUGGGCCAUUACUGACGCUGAGGAGCGAAAGCGUGGGGAGCGAACAGGAUUAGAUACCCUAGUAGUCC
Molecule: ribosomal RNA, 774 nt
Filed under: uncultured bacterium
Lineage: Bacteria
Description: bacterial SSU rRNA
Rfam family: Bacterial small subunit ribosomal RNA
Source: RNAcentral